AAAAAAAAAGAAAAAAGAAAAAAGGACAAUUGUGAGAAGGCUGCUUAGGAAUGGAAGGAGCGGCAGUGCAAUAAGGCUCAAGCAGAAAUGAAUACUUUGGAGCUUAGUGUUUGGAUAAGCUAUUGAAGGUUGAAACUGAACCAAGGUGAAAAAGUGACUCGGCCCACUGUCAGUGAAAGCAAGUUUUAUCUUGGUUGUUCUUCAAAAUAUUUAUAUGAUGAUGGGUAUGUCAUGAUAAACCAGGCAUUUUUUCCUGUCCUGCUGAUCCGUAUUUGGCGCGUAAUAUUGUAUUGUUAACAUCUACAAGGAGAUUUUGAUAGGAAGGUUGUAUUGUCAAGUUUGAGCCUGCCCCAGAUGUGUAUUUUAAAAUCAAUUGUUAUGUUAUCUGACGAGUAAUGUGUUAAAAAUGGUUUAAUUAUUAAAAGAAAUGAUUUGAUUAGGCCUUUUACGUAAAAGGGCAGUUUUUAUGGGUUUUUAUUUUCUAGUUUAUGAGCAGUGUUAAGAAUGAAGCAUAUUCAUUCUCUACUAUGUUAUUCCUAUUAUAAACUUGGUGUUUAAUCAAUAAUGGUGUUUGUCUAAAUUUUGCUAGGUGUGUUCUCGCUACUUAUGGGUAUGGCUAUAAUUUGUACAUUUUUUUAAUUUGUUUACUACUGGAAUAUAUGACUCUGAUCCUAUGAGAUAACAUUCAUGAAAUUGAAAAGGUUAAAAGCUCUCGAUGCAUCUGGUUCG
RNAcentral lists this unclassified non-coding RNA (729 nucleotides) under Hevea brasiliensis (rubber tree). Lineage: Eukaryota; Viridiplantae; Streptophyta; Magnoliopsida; Malpighiales; Euphorbiaceae. The record is from RNAcentral.